CCCUUAGGUGUUCUGGGCCGCACGCGCGCUACACUGAUGCAUUCAACGAGUUUUACCUUGGCCGAGAGGCCUGGGCAAUCUUUUAAACCUGCAUCGUGAUAGGGAUAGAUUAUUGCAAUUAUUAAUCUUGAACGAGGAAUUCCUAGUAAACGCAAAUCAUCAAUUUGCAUUGAUUACGUCCCUGCCCUUUGUACACACCGCCCGUCGCACCUACCGAUUGAAUGGUCCGGUGAAGCCUCGGGAUUGUGGCCAGUUCACUUUAUUGGGAGUUGGCUGCGAGAACUUGUCUAAACCUUAUCAUUUAGAGGAAGGUGAAGUCGUAACA
This 325-nucleotide ribosomal RNA is filed under the name uncultured eukaryote. RNAcentral describes it as "partial 18S ribosomal RNA". It matches the Rfam family "Eukaryotic small subunit ribosomal RNA", at positions 1470 to 1796 of the family's 1831-position model. The record is from RNAcentral.